GGAUAUUGGGCGUAAGGGCUCGCAGGCGGUUUCUUAAGUCUGAUGUGAAAGCCCCCGGCUCAACCGGGGAGGGUCAUUGGAAACUGGGGAACUUGAGUGCAGAAGAGGAGAGUGGAAUUCCACGUGUAGCGGUGAAAUGCGUAGAGAUGUGGAGGAACACCAGUGGCGAAGGCGACUCUCUGGUCUGUAACUGACGCUGAGGAGCGAAAGCGUGGGGAGCGAACAGGAUUAGAUACCCUGGUAGUCCACGCCGUAAACGAUGAGUGCUAAGUGUUAGGGGGUUUCCGCCCCUUAGUGCUGCAGCUAACGCAUUAAGCACUCCGCCUGGGGAGUACGGUCGCAAGACUGAAACUCAAAGGAAUUGACGGGGGCCCGCACAAGCGGUGGAGCAUGUGGUUUAAUUCGAAGCAACGCGAAGAACCUUACCAGGUCUUGACAUCCUCUGACAAUCCUAGAGAUAGGACGUCCCCUUCGGGGGCAGAGUGACAGGUGGUGCAUGGUUGUCGUCAGCUCGUGUCGUGAGAUGUUGGGUUAAGUCCCGCAACGAGCGCAACCCUUGAUCUUAGUUGCCAGCAUUCAGUUGGGCACUCUAAGGUGACUGCCGGUGACAAACCGGAGGAAGGUGGGGAUGACGUCAAAUCAUCAUGCCCCUUAUGACCUGGGCUACACACGUGCUACAAUGGACAGAACAAAGGGCAGCGAAACCGCGAGGUUCAGCCAAUCCCACAAAUCUGUUCUCAGUUCGGAUCGCAGUCUGCAACUCGACUGCGUGAAGCUGGAAUCGC
This 785-nucleotide ribosomal RNA is filed under the name Bacillus subtilis. Its description in RNAcentral is "bacterial SSU rRNA". It matches the Rfam family "Bacterial small subunit ribosomal RNA", at positions 547 to 1335 of the family's 1533-position model. Lineage: Bacteria; Bacillati; Bacillota; Bacilli; Caryophanales; Bacillaceae. The record is from RNAcentral.